AGACGGGUGAGUAAUGUAUAGGAAUCUACCUAGUAGUACGGAAUAAUUGUUGGAAACGGCAACUAAUACCGUAUACGCCCUACGGGGGAAAAAUUUAUUGCUAUUAGAUGAGCCUAUAUUAGAUUAGUUAGUUGGUGAGGUAAAGGCUUACCAAGACAAUGAUCUAUAGCUGAUCUGAGAGGAUGAUCAGCCACACUGGAACUGAGAUACGGUCCAGACUCCUACGGGAGGCAGCAGUGGGGAAUAUUGGACAAUGGGCGAAAGCCUGAUCCAGCCAUGCCGCAUGAGUGAAGAAGGCCUUCGGGUUGUAAAGCUCUUUUAGUGAGGAAGAUAAUGACGGUACUCACAGAAGAAGUCCUGGCUAACUCCGUGCCAGCAGCCGCGGUAAUACGGAGAGGGCUAGCGUUAUUCGGAAUCAUUGGGCGUAAAGGGCGCGUAGGCGGGUUAGUAAGUUAAAAGUGAAAUCCCAAGGCUCAACCUUGGAACUGCUUUUAAAACUGCUAGUCUAGAGAUUGAAAGAGGAUAGAGGAAUUCCUAGUGUAGAGAUGAAAUUCGUAAAUAUUAGGAGGAACACCAGUGGCGAANGCGUCUAUCUGGUUCAAAUCUGACGCUGAGGCGCGAA
This 622-nucleotide ribosomal RNA is filed under the name uncultured Wolbachia sp. RNAcentral describes it as "bacterial SSU rRNA". It matches the Rfam family "Bacterial small subunit ribosomal RNA", at positions 100 to 757 of the family's 1533-position model. Lineage: Bacteria; Pseudomonadati; Pseudomonadota; Alphaproteobacteria; Rickettsiales; Anaplasmataceae. The record is from RNAcentral.